This 200-nucleotide ribosomal RNA is filed under the name uncultured bacterium. RNAcentral's name for it is "partial 16S ribosomal RNA". It matches the Rfam family "Bacterial small subunit ribosomal RNA", at positions 28 to 229 of the family's 1533-position model. The record is from RNAcentral.
GAUGAACGCUAGCGGCAGGCCUAAUACAUGCGAGUCGAGGGGUAGUGGUUGCUUGCAACCAUGAGACCGGCGCACGGGUGCGUAACGCGUAUGCAACCUACCUUCAUCAGGGGGAUAGCCCGGAGAAAUCCGGAUUAAUACCGCAUAAAAUCACAGUACCGCAUGGUACAAUGAUCAAACAUUUAUGGGAUGGAGAUGGG